AUGAACGCUGGCGGCGUGCCUAAUACAUGCAAGUCGAGCGAACGGACGAGGAGCUUGCUUUUCUGAUGUUAGCGGCGGACGGGUGAGUAACACGUGGAUAACCUACCUAUAAGACUGGGAUAACUUCGGGAAACCGGAGCUAAUACCGGAUAAUAUUUUGAACCGCAUGGUUCAAAAGUGAAAGACGGUCUUGCUGUCACUUAUAGAUGGAUCCGCGCUGCAUUAGCUAGUUGGUAAGGUAACGGCUUACCAAGGCAACGAUGCAUAGCCGACCUGAGAGGGUGAUCGGCCACACUGGAACUGAGACACGGUCCAGACUCCUACGGGAGGCAGCAGUAGGGAAUCUUCCGCAAUGGGCGAAAGCCUGACGGAGCAACGCCGCGUGAGUGAUGAAGGUCUUCGGAUCGUAAAACUCUGUUAUUAGGGAAGAACAUAUGUGUAAGUAACUGUGCACAUCUUGACGGUACCUAAUCAGAAAGCCACGGCUAACUACGUG
RNAcentral lists this ribosomal RNA (496 nucleotides) under uncultured bacterium. RNAcentral's name for it is "partial 16S ribosomal RNA". It matches the Rfam family "Bacterial small subunit ribosomal RNA", at positions 29 to 507 of the family's 1533-position model. The record is from RNAcentral.